GAUGAACGCUGGCGGCGUGCCUAAUACAUGCAAGUCGAGCGAACGGACGAGAAGCUUGCUUUUCUGAUGUUAGCGGCGGACGGGUGAGUAACACGUGGAUAACCUACCUAUAAGACUGGGAUAACUUCGGGAAACCGGAGCUAAUACCGGAUAAUAUUUUGAACCGCAUGGUUCAAAAGUGAAAGACGGUCUUGCUGUCACUUAUAGAUGGAUCCGCGCUGCAUUAGCUAGUUGGUAAGGUAACGGCUUACCAAGGCAACGAUGCAUAGCCGACCUGAGAGGGUGCUCGGCCACACUGGAACUGAGACACGGUCCAGACUCCUACGGGAGGCAGCAGUAGGGAAUCUUCCGCAAUGGGCGAAAGCCUGACGGAGCAACGCCGCGUGAGUGAUGAAGGUCUUCGGAUCGUAAAACUCUGUUAUUAGGGAAGAACAUAUGUGUAAGUAACUGUGCACAUCUUGACGGUACCUAAUCAGAAAGCCACGGCUAACUACGUG
RNAcentral lists this ribosomal RNA (497 nucleotides) under uncultured bacterium. Its description in RNAcentral is "partial 16S ribosomal RNA". It matches the Rfam family "Bacterial small subunit ribosomal RNA", at positions 28 to 507 of the family's 1533-position model. The record is from RNAcentral.